GACGAACGCUGGCGGCGUGCUUAACACAUGCAAGUCGAACGGAAAGGCCCUGCUUUUGUGGGGUGCUCGAGUGGCGAACGGGUGAGUAACACGUGAGUAACCUGCCCUUGACUUUGGGAUAACUUCAGGAAACUGGGGCUAAUACCGGAUAGGAGCUCCUGCUGCAGGGUGGGGGUUGGAAAGUUUCGGCGGUUGGGGAUGGACUCGCGGCUUAUCAGCUUGUUGGUGGGGUAGUGGCUUACCAAGGCUUUGACGGGUAGCCGGCCUGAGAGGGUGACCGGCCACAUUGGGACUGAGAUACGGCCCAGACGCCUACGUGAGGCAGCAGUGGGGAAUAUUGCACAAUGGGCGGAAGCCUGAUGCAGCAACGCUGCGUGCGGGAUGACGGCCUUCGGGUUGUAAACCGCUUUCGCCUGUGACGAAGCGUGAGUGACGGUAAUGGGUAAAGAAGCACCGGCUAACUACGUG
This 468-nucleotide ribosomal RNA is filed under the name uncultured bacterium. RNAcentral's name for it is "partial 16S ribosomal RNA". It matches the Rfam family "Bacterial small subunit ribosomal RNA", at positions 28 to 507 of the family's 1533-position model. The record is from RNAcentral.